RNAcentral lists this long non-coding RNA (1373 nucleotides) under Ovis aries (sheep). RNAcentral describes it as "lncRNA (ENSOARG00000025895.1)". The record is from RNAcentral. Lineage: Eukaryota; Metazoa; Chordata; Mammalia; Artiodactyla; Bovidae.
AAGAGACUGUGGAUUCAGACUGACUAGAUGUGCUGACAGAGCUCAAAGGAAUUGUGAUGAGGGAACCCUCAGAAGAAACUGUAGAUUCAGACUGAACAGAAGUAAAAGUGGAGCUCCCAGGGGCUGUGGUAUGGGCACCCUGGGAAGAGACUGUGGAUUCAAACCAACCAGAUGUGGUGGUUAAGCUCCCAGAGACUGUUGAAUGGAAACCCUCAGAAGAGAUUGUGGAUGUUGACUGAACAGAAGGAGUGGAGGAACUCCCAAGCCCUGUCGUGAGGGAGCCCUCUGAAGUGACAGUGAAUUCAGACUGUCCAGAUGUGGUGUGCAAAUUCUCAGAAGAGACGGCGGAUAAAGUGAGAUCAGAGGUGGGAGUGGAACUCCAAGGGACUGUGGUGAGGGAACCCACAGAAGAGAAUGCAGAUUCAGGCAAACCAGUAGUAGUGGUGGAGCUCCAAGGGACUGUGGUGUGGGAACCCUCAGAAGAGACUGUGGGUUCAGAAAGAAUGGAUAUGGUGGUGGAGCUUCCAGAAUCUGUGGUGGGAGAAGCCUCAGAAGAGACUGUGGGUUCAGAAAGAAUGGAUAUGGUGGUGGAGCUUCCAGAAUCUGUGGUGGGAGAAGCCUCAGAUGAUACUGUGGAUUUAGAGGGACCAGAUGUGGUGGGGGAACUCUCAGGAGACAGGGUGGAUUCUGACAGAACUGAUGAGGUGGUGAAGCUUCCAGGGUUUGUGGUGGGGGAAUCCUCAGAAGAAACUGUAGAUUUAGACAGAACUGAUGUGGUGGUAGAGCUUCCAGAAACUGUGGUGGGAGAAGCCUCAGAAGAGACUGUGGAUUCAGGCAGAACUGAUACAGUAGUGGAGCUUCCAGAACCUGUGGUGGGAGAAGCCUCAGAAGAGACUGUGGAUUCAGACUGAUCAGAUGUGGUGUGGGAACUCUCAGAAGACACUGUGGAUUCUGACAGAACUGAUACGGUAGUGGAACUUCCAGAACCUGUGGUGGGGGAAGCCUCAGGAGAGACUGUGGAUUCAGUCUGACCAGAUGUGGUGUGGGAAGUCUCAGAAGAAACUGUGGAUUCUGACACAACUGAUGUGGUAGUUGAGCUUCCAGUGACUCUCGUGAGGGAACCCUCAGAAGAGACUGUGGAUUCAGACUGAACGGAUGUGGUGUGGGAACCCCCAGGAGAGACUAUGGAUUCAGACUGACCAGAUGAGGUGAUGGAACUCCCAUGGACUGUGGUGUGGGAACCCUCAAAAGAGAGUGUGGGUUCAGACUGACUAGAUGUGGUAUGUGAACCUCCAGAAGAGACUAUGGAUUCAGACUGACCAGAUGAGGUGAUGGAACUCCCAUGGACUGUGGUGUGGGAACCCUCAGAAGAG